ACGAACGCUGGCGGCAUGCCUAACACAUGCAAGUCGCACGAGACCUUCGGGUCUAGUGGCGCACGGGUGCGUAACGCGUGGGAACCUGCCCUUAGGUUCGGAAUAACUCCCCGAAAGGGGUGCUAAUACCGGAUAAUGUCUUCGGACCAAAGAUUUAUCGCCUUUGGAUGGGCCCGCGUUGGAUUAGCUAGUUGGUAGGGUAAAAGCCUACCAAGGCGACGAUCCAUAGCUGGUCUGAGAGGAUGACCGGCCACACUGGGACUGAGACACGGCCCAGACUCCUACGGGAGGCAGCAGUGGGGAAUAUUGGACAAUGGGCGAAAGCCUGAUCCAGCAAUGCCGCGUGAGUGAUGAAGGCCUUAGGGUUGUAAAGCUCUUUUACCCGGGAUGAUAAUGACAGUACCGGGAGAAUAAGCUCCGGCUAACUCCGUG
Molecule: ribosomal RNA, 432 nt
Filed under: uncultured bacterium
Lineage: Bacteria
Description: partial 16S ribosomal RNA
Rfam family: Bacterial small subunit ribosomal RNA
Source: RNAcentral